UGUGUGUGUGCGUGCCUGCGCGUGCAUAAUCUUAUAGGUGCGUAUCACUCUAAAUCUCUGUCUUUUCCUGUCUCUUUGCACAGGGUGUGCCAGGUCGUGAUGGUCUAAGGGGAGAGAAGGGCGACCAGGGUGAGCAGGGAGACCAAGGAUUAGCCGGAACCCAUGGAACCCAAGGCCUGCCUGGAGAGCCUGGUCGGGAUGGACUAACUGGACUGAAGGGAGAGAAGGGAGAUGCGUGUGAGAGCUGUGCGCCUGUCUCUGGCGGCAGAUGGGUGUAGGAGGGGUGCAUGGAGCCAAGGGAAGAGGGGCGACCCAGGAACCCCAGGAGAGGGGAAAGCAGGGAAACAUGGCAAGCCAGGUCUACCCGGUGUCCAAGGGCCUAUAGGACCAAAAGGAAGCCAGGGUGACCCAGGAGUUGAAGGGGUGGGCAUCCAGGACCUCAGG
Non-coding RNA from Salvelinus sp. IW2-2015, 444 nucleotides. NCBI's taxonomy places the organism in Eukaryota, Metazoa, Chordata, Actinopteri, Salmoniformes, Salmonidae. The record is from RefSeq and is a predicted model, not a curated record.